This 424-nucleotide ribosomal RNA is filed under the name Verrucomicrobiota bacterium. RNAcentral's name for it is "Verrucomicrobia bacterium partial 16S ribosomal RNA". It matches the Rfam family "Bacterial small subunit ribosomal RNA", at positions 355 to 776 of the family's 1533-position model. The record is from RNAcentral. Lineage: Bacteria; Pseudomonadati; Verrucomicrobiota.
UGAGGAAUAUUGGUCAAUGGACGAGAGUCUGAACCAGCCAAGUAGCGUGCAGGAUGACGGCCCUAUGGGUUGUAAACUGCUUUUGUUUGGGAAUAAUCGACAUUACGUGUAAUGUUUUGCAUGUACCAUUCGAAUAAGGACCGGCUAAUUCCGUGCCAGCAGCCGCGGUAAUACGGAAGGUCCAGGCGUUAUCCGGCUUUAUUGGGUUUAAAGGGAGUGUAGGCGGUUGGUUAAGCGUGUUGUGAAAUGUAGAUGCUCAACAUCUGACUUGCAGCGCGAACUGGCUGACUUGAGUACACACAACGUAGGCGGAAUUCAUGGUGUAGCGGUGAAAUGCUUAGAUAUCAUGAAGAACUACGAUUGCGGAGGCAGCUUACGGGAGUGUUACUGACGCUUAAGCUCGAAGGUGCGGGUAUCGAACAGG